AGGGUCAGGUUCUGGACUCUAGGAGGAAGCAUUGGCUCUUUGGGACAGUGAUCCAAAACCCACGCUCAAGCUUUCAGAGCCGGAAAGAGAGUGGGAGGGUGGGGGGCGGUGAGCCGGAGACCUUAUCUCUCAGACUCCGCCUCCCCAAGACACAGAGAAAGUUUCAGAAUGCAGCUAGUUGAGUCUUCCAUCCACUAGGCUGCUGAGAGGCGGCCAGUGCUAGAAAAGCAACGGAGGGACGUAGCUGGAUUGGAACACAGGUUUCUCUCAGUCUUUCUGCAUAGUGUCCUUUGGGGAAGCUUGCGAGCUCUGGAUUGCCUCACCUGCCCAGAAGAAUUUGAGGGUUGUGGGAAGUGUGGAGCGCUCUGCUGGCUGCUGACUCCUCUCUUCUCGUUCCCGGCUAUUUGGGCUCCCCUUGAGAGCUCCAGAUAAUAAAGGAAGGAGAGAAGAUUAUAUGAUGGCACUAACCUAAUCUCAGCUAAAAAUGCAGAAGUUUACUCUAAGUACAGAGGAUGUGGUGGGAGUUUGAGCUGAAAAAAAAUGUGGAAUCAGACACCAUCAGGAAGGAGAUAAUAUUAAGCAAGAAGAGGUGAGAAGAAUCCUUAUUUGGAAAGUAUGAGGGCUCACGUGAAGUUUUCAUCUUAAAUUUGUAGUGGGUAAAUCAGCUUCAUUUCAUAACUUUCUUUAGCAGUGCUCAGCAGACCAGGAAUCAAAGUGAAAACCUUAUGAUGGUAGUGAUCACACUGGCUUCAGGUAAGGAAUGUGAGAACAUUUUGAGUUUGAAAGAUUCUCAAGUGGUGCCUAUAAAUGAUGAUUAAAUAGUAGAAAAUGGGUGCGAAGGUAAGUUUGGAAGUGAAGUAAAGCCCAAUUGAAGAUGAGCCUUGAUGUCAGUAUCAUUUAAUAUGAAUGAAUGAAAGGGAGGAAUCUGGAAGGUUAGGAAGUUAUGAUUGGAGAAUGUGAUUUUAAAGUUCAAAUUCUUGGAAUUAGUACAAUUAUAUGACAUAGUCACAUCUAACAUGUGAUGGUGUUAAUACGUGGCAUGUUACAAAGUUGAUUGAGUGCAUGAGAUCAUCUCAUCCAAGCUCUCCUUGAAUAGAUGAGAUGAAGCUUAGAAAAGUGUAAUGAUGUGCUUAAUAUCACAGCUUGUUGUUGUUUGUCCUUCAUUCUCAAAGAAGACCAGGACAUAAGGUAGAUGAUGCCAUGACCUGCAAAUGAAAUGGAUUAAGUGAGGGAGGGCUGUACAAGGUCAGCUGCCUCACUUUUCCC
RNAcentral lists this long non-coding RNA (1266 nucleotides) under Sarcophilus harrisii (Tasmanian devil). Its description in RNAcentral is "lncRNA (ENSSHAG00000022178.1)". The record is from RNAcentral. Lineage: Eukaryota; Metazoa; Chordata; Mammalia; Dasyuromorphia; Dasyuridae.